RNAcentral lists this ribosomal RNA (725 nucleotides) under Sulfitobacter sp. Its description in RNAcentral is "bacterial SSU rRNA". It matches the Rfam family "Bacterial small subunit ribosomal RNA", at positions 60 to 831 of the family's 1533-position model. The record is from RNAcentral. Lineage: Bacteria; Pseudomonadati; Pseudomonadota; Alphaproteobacteria; Rhodobacterales; Roseobacteraceae.
AGUCGAGCGAGACCUUCGGGUCUAGCGGCGGACGGGUUAGUAACGCGUGGGAACGUGCCCUUCUCUGCGGAAUAGCCACUGGAAACGGUGAGUAAUACCGCAUACGCCCUUCGGGGGAAAGAUUUAUCGGAGAAGGAUCGGCCCGCGUUAGAUUAGAUAGUUGGUGGGGUAACGGCCUACCAAGUCUACGAUCUAUAGCUGGUUUUAGAGGAUGAUCAGCAACACUGGGACUGAGACACGGCCCAGACUCCUACGGGAGGCAGCAGUGGGGAAUCUUAGACAAUGGGCGCAAGCCUGAUCUAGCCAUGCCGCGUGUGUGAUGAAGGUCUUAGGAUCGUAAAGCACUUUCGCCAGGGAUGAUAAUGACAGUACCUGGUAAAGAAACCCCGGCUAACUCCGUGCCAGCAGCCGCGGUAAUACGGAGGGGGUUAGCGUUGUUCGGAAUUACUGGGCGUAAAGCGCGCGUAGGCGGAUUGGAAAGUUGGGGGUGAAAUCCCGGGGCUCAACCCCGGAACUGCCUCCAAAACUAUCAGUCUAGAGUUCGAGAGAGGUGAGUGGAAUUCCAAGUGUAGAGGUGAAAUUCGUAGAUAUUUGGAGGAACACCAGUGGCGAAGGCGGCUCACUGGCUCGAUACUGACGCUGAGGUGCGAAAGUGUGGGGAGCAAACAGGAUUAGAUACCCUGGUAGUCCACACCGUAAACGAUGAAUGCCAGUCGNCGGGCAGU